RNAcentral lists this ribosomal RNA (253 nucleotides) under uncultured bacterium. RNAcentral describes it as "partial 16S ribosomal RNA". It matches the Rfam family "Bacterial small subunit ribosomal RNA", at positions 524 to 776 of the family's 1533-position model. RNAcentral also lists the same sequence under 1 other name. The record is from RNAcentral.
UACGAAGGGAGCUAGCGUUGUUCGGAUUUACUGGGCGUAAAGGGCGCGUAGGCGGUUUGGCAAGUUGGAUGUGAAAGCCCUGGGCUCAACCCGGGAAUUGCAUUCAAAACUGCCUUACUUGAAUUCGGUAGAGGUUGGUAGAAUUCCCAGUGUAGAGGUGAAAUUCGUAGAGAUUGGGAAGAAUACCCGUGGCGAAGGCGGCCAACUGGACCGACAUUGACGCUGAGGCGCGAAAGCGUGGGUAGCAAACAGG